RNAcentral lists this ribosomal RNA (264 nucleotides) under uncultured bacterium. RNAcentral describes it as "partial 16S ribosomal RNA". It matches the Rfam family "Bacterial small subunit ribosomal RNA", at positions 793 to 1055 of the family's 1533-position model. The record is from RNAcentral.
GUCCACGCCCUAAACGAUGUCAACUAGUUGUCGGGGAAGCAAUUCCUUGGUAACGCAGCUAACGCGUGAAGUUGACCGCCUGGGGAGUACGGUCGCAAGAUUAAAACUCAAAGGAAUUGACGGGGACCCGCACAAGCGGUGGAUGAUGUGGAUUAAUUCGAUGCAACGCGAAAAACCUUACCUACCCUUGACAUGUCCAGAACCCUGAUGAAAGUUGGGGGUGCCCGAAAGGGAAUUGGAACACAGGUGCUGCAUGGCUGUCGU